AACGAACGCUGGCGGCAGGCCUAACACAUGCAAGUCGAAGGAGAAGUUCCUCUUCGGAGGGAUGGACACUGGCGCACGGGUGAGUAACGCGUGGGGAUCUACCCCGGGGUGGGGGACAACCGCUGGAAACGGCGGCUAAUACCGCAUACGCUUUAAGAGGGAAAGCUUUAGCGCCCUGGGAUGAACCCGCGUUAGAUUAGGUAGUUGGUGGGGUAAUGGCCUACCAAGCCGACGAUCUAUAGCUGGUCUGAGAGGGUGAUCAGCCACACUGGGACUGAGACACGGCCCAGACUCCUACGGGAGGCAGCAGUGGGGAAUAUUGGACAAUGGGGGCAACCCUGAUCCAGCCAUGCCGCGUGCGUGAAGAAGGCCUUAGGGUUGUAAAGCGCUUUCACUGGUGAAGAUGAUGACGGUAGCCAGAGAAGAAGCCCCGG
This 434-nucleotide ribosomal RNA is filed under the name uncultured Pseudomonadota bacterium. RNAcentral describes it as "bacterial SSU rRNA". It matches the Rfam family "Bacterial small subunit ribosomal RNA", at positions 29 to 496 of the family's 1533-position model. The record is from RNAcentral. Lineage: Bacteria; Pseudomonadati; Pseudomonadota.